Non-coding RNA from Oryctolagus cuniculus (rabbit), 3124 nucleotides. The record is from RefSeq and is a predicted model, not a curated record. Lineage: Eukaryota; Metazoa; Chordata; Mammalia; Lagomorpha; Leporidae.
CGCCGCCGCCACGGCCCGGCCGCCGCCGCACAGCGCCCCCCGAGGGCCGGCCGCGGCACUGCGCCCGGCUGCUCGCGGCCCGGCGGCUCCUCGCGGGGAACAAUAGGCUCGGCUCGCCGGGCUUAGGGUUCAUCUGCAAUGUGCCGCACAUUUCGCACGCACACAAAGCCGGCGGAAGGGGGGCGGCGCGGCGAAACGGCCACUACCGGCUGUUCCGGGGUUAGGGGCGGAGGCGACGUCCGCGCGCCCGGCCCCGCGCUCGCCGCAGCCGCCCCGUUGGCUGCCGGCCGGCCGGCCCCUCGCCGCUCUGCGCCAGGGCUGCAGGGGCCCGGGUGACCGGCCGCGUCCUCCGCGCACCACGCGCGGACGAACGCCAGCCCAGAGGAGCCCCACGGCCGGGGUGGCCGCAGCCCCCGGCCGCCCUCGCCGAGGCCGCCGGCGCGCGCCCGGGGCUUGCGCGGAGGUCCGAGCUGCGCAGGCGGGCGCGGAGCGGGACCGGGACCGGGACGGCGCCCGCACACACGGACACCGGGCCGAGCGUGUCGAGUGGUUAGGCACACACAGCCCUCGCGGCCCUCUCGGGCUCCGGGCCGCCGGCGUGAAAAUUACGUAAUGCGGACCCGCGCGCCUGCGGGGCUCCCUCGAGGGAACGGACUGAGUGCCCAAGUAAAGUCUGAGUCUGAGGGGUCGGGGCGAGGCCGUGGCGAGCAGGCUCCUUCCACGCGCGGGCCAGUGAGCGCUCGCAGCCGGCGGGGGCGGGGCCGGGCGGCGGCGGGAGCCGGGCGGCCGCUGAGGGGCGGUGGCGAAGUGGGCCGCAGAGGCGCGGGCCCGGCUCGCGCGGAUUCCCUCGGCGCCGCACUUGCGCACGGCCCCUUACGUAACCGUCCGCGCCGGGGAUUCCCUGGGGGGGUCGUUCCCUGCGACCAUUACACACUCGCGGCGCCUGCCUCACAAAAUGGCGGCGCGCGCGGAGGCGGCGGCCGCCUCGGCCCCAUUUUGUGGGCGGCGAGCGCUCUGUCACCGUGCAGCUCCUCGGCGGGCGCGGUCAGGCGGCGCCGGCAGCGCGCGGGGCCACCUUCCUCGCUCGGCCUUUCCCGGGAGGCGGCGCGGCCUCCGCCGGCUGCCCGCGCGCCCGCGAGGGGACGGCGCGGGGCUCCGCGGGACUGGCCGGAGGCCCCUGGACGCCGCGCGGGCCCCGAGGUGGGCCGAGGCACCGGGCGCCGGAACGCGGCCUCGGCGGUGUCUCGGAUGCACCAGGUGGUCUCCAGAUCUGUGACUGAUUUCCUGAGAGCGGACCCUAGCUACAGAGAUGCUUCUUCCCACAGUCAUCCUGUUGCUUGAGCCCGUGCACAGCAGUCAGGACUCGAACCCAUGCUCAGGGGAUGCCGCUCUGCAGGAGGCGGCUUAACCUACAGCACCACGACGCCGGCCCCUGCUUUAUUAUCUUUUUUUAAAAGAUUUAUUUAUUUAUUUGAAAGACAGAGUUACAGAGAGUGGGAGGCAGAGAGAGAGACGUCUUCCAUCUGCUGGUUCCCUUCCCAGAUUGCCGCGACAGAGUUGUGGUGAUCUGAAGCCAGGAGCCAGGAGUUUCCUCUGGGUCUCCCACAUGAGUUCAGAGGCCCAAGCACUUCGGCCAUCUUCUACUGCCUUCCCAGGCCACAGCAGAGAGCUGGAUCAGAAGUGGAGCAGCCGGGACUCGAACCUACACCCAUAUGGAAUGCCGGCACUGCAGGCGGCCUCGCUUCAAUAUCUUUUUACUCUAGUACUUACUGUCUUCAACACCUCCUGCAGUUCACCUAUGGGUGAUGCUGUACCUGACAUCUGCUCUGACGGGAGCUGCAGGAAGAACCUUCCCCACUCCUGCUGUGCCAGCACCUACAACCAUGCCCAGGCCGUGACAGACCACACAGAUGUGUUGAGUACAGUCAGGAAAAUCACAGAACCCCAGCUCCUGGAAGGCCUAACAUAAGCUCUGUAUGAGCCAGUGUGUCUGAGAACAUGCAAAACACACCCCACUCCUUUCUGGCAGCUGUGGCUGCCACUCAGCACCUCACCAGUCCCUGUGCGUGGGAAGCCACGUGCCAAAGGCUCAUGUCUCACCUAAGUCCUCGCGGGGAGCAGAGUCCUGGCCACACCAGGGCACCGUCAGGCUGUCCCUGCCCCGGGCUGUCUGUGCAAGAGGAUCUUUGGGGGCAUAGGUGGGUGGCAGGGGAGAGCCAGCUGCCCCUCCUCUGCCUUUGCUGCCAUGUGCCACUCACAGGAAGUGAGGCUCCCAGGGGGUGGGAGGAGAGGGUGGAGCCUCUGCUGGGGGCUUGCCUGCCUGGGUCUGCAGCUGUCUCUGUGCAGAACCUCCCCGGCCACUGUUGUUAGAGCUGUGGGUUCUGACCUGGAUGCCCCUCUUCCUGCACGGACACGAGACUUAGCUUGGAGCGAUCGGAUUCCAGUUUUAUUUCUUCCACACUGAACCCUGCUCUCUUCAUUCCCGUGGGACACACGCUUCAUCCUAUGAGUCUGGGUGAGGGGAGAACGGUUACUUGCAUUGGCAACUGCAGCACAAGAUGACCCCUGUGGCAGUGGUGUCCACUUGUCGGGGAACACUGGUCUUAGACGCUGCAGCUGGCCCCUGCUGAACUUGUGCAUUCUGCCUGUGCCCUUGCCUCUCGCCUCUUGAGACCCAAGUCAAGCAUCAUCUCCCCGGAAGCCUUCCCAGUCUCCAGGAAGAGGAAGAACUGAACGCCGUGGCAGUGAUUUGAACGGGACAGCCGGCCAAGUGAAGACGCCCCUGAGCGAGCAGCUGUGUCUGCCAGGUGCUCAGGCCACAUAAGGAAAAUGCACAGAAGGAAAGAGGAUCAAAGCAAACCACCACCAAACAGGGGCUGGUUGCACAGGGCCGGCCUAAGUCCUCCUGAAACGCUGCAGCACGGAGGGAAGUACGAAGUGGCCAGCUGUGCUGUCCCCACCAAGACGAACGGGACCCCCCUGCCCCCUGCCGGGAGGGAGCGGCCGGCGCAGCCCUGGAAGGAGCGCCCAGCCUCGAGUCAAGCUCUGGAAGGAGGGCUCGGCGUCUGCCCGGGAUAAGCGUCCUGCCCUACUGGUGGGGGGCUCUCUCCCUCUCUUUUCUGCC